Molecule: ribosomal RNA, 232 nt
Filed under: uncultured fungus
Lineage: Eukaryota; Fungi
Description: partial 18S ribosomal RNA
Rfam family: Eukaryotic small subunit ribosomal RNA
Source: RNAcentral
AAGAUUAAGCCAUGCAUGCCUAAGUAUAAACAUUUGUACUGUGAAACUGCGGACGGCUCAUUAAAUCAGUUAUAGUUUAUUUGAUAGUAACUACUACUUGGAUAACCGUGGUAAUUCUAGAGCUAAUACAUGCACUGAAAUCCCGACUUCUGGAAGGGAUGUAUUUAUUAGAAUAAAAACCAACCAGGGCAACCGGUUCUUUGGUGAUUCAUGAUAACUUUUCGAAUCGCAU